UACGUAGGGUGCGAGCGUUGUCCGGAUUUAUUGGGCGUAAAGAGCUCGUAGGCGGUUUGUCGCGUCGGCCGUGAAAUCUCCACGCUUAACGUGGAGCGUGCGGUCGAUACGGGCAGACUUGAGUUCGGUAGGGGAGACUGGAAUUCCUGGUGUAGCGGUGAAAUGCGUAGAUAUCUGGAGGAACACCGGUGGCGAAGGCGGCAUCCUGGACCAAUUCUGACACUGAGGAGCGAAAGCCAGGGGAGCAAACGGG
This 253-nucleotide ribosomal RNA is filed under the name uncultured bacterium. RNAcentral describes it as "partial 16S ribosomal RNA". It matches the Rfam family "Bacterial small subunit ribosomal RNA", at positions 524 to 776 of the family's 1533-position model. The record is from RNAcentral.